CCUACGGGAGGCAGCAGUGGGGAAUAUUGCACAAUGGGGGAAACCCUGAUGCAGCGACGCCGCGUGAGUGAAGAAGUCAUUCUUUAUGUAAAGCUCUAUCAGCAGGGAAGAAAAUCACGGUACCUGAGUACGACUCCCCGGCCAACUCCGUGCCAGCAGCCGCGGUAAUACGGAGGGGGCAAGCGUUAUCCGGAUUUACUGGGUGUAAAGGGGGCGUAGGCGGAAGGGCAAGUCUGGAGUGAAAGGCGGGGGCUCAACCCCCGGACUGCUCUGGAAACUGUACGGCUGGAGUGCAGGCGAGGUAAGUGGAAUGCCUGGUGUAGCGGUGAAAUGCGUAGAUAUUA
This 344-nucleotide ribosomal RNA is filed under the name uncultured bacterium. RNAcentral's name for it is "partial 16S ribosomal RNA". It matches the Rfam family "Bacterial small subunit ribosomal RNA", at positions 338 to 699 of the family's 1533-position model. The record is from RNAcentral.